This is a non-coding RNA of Punica granatum (pomegranate), 1265 nucleotides long. NCBI's taxonomy places the organism in Eukaryota, Viridiplantae, Streptophyta, Magnoliopsida, Myrtales, Lythraceae. The record is from RefSeq and is a predicted model, not a curated record.
CCCUCUGCCAGCAACGAGGGUCUUGACAGGGUGCACCGUCUCUUCGGGAUCAACAGCAACAACCUUUUUGCCUUUUGAUGAUCUUACUUUUAAAACUUUUCUCUUAACUACAUCUCUGCUUCCUUCUUUUUAUGUUCCAGGGUGCUAUUAAUUUUGCUGUUGGCAGUAUAAAAGAAAGAAUUUAGAGCAAUAGGUGGAUAUUUGACCAAUGCAAGCAAGCCCCACCUAGAUAGAGUUGAGCGGUUUAUUCAGGCCGUUGGAUCAUACGAAGAUAAAAUAUUUCAGAAGAGAGCGAGAUUGCAUCAGCGUCAAGCAGAGAGAAUAAAGCGUGAAAAGGCGCAAAGGAGAAGAGGGGAUGAUGCGGCCCCUCAAGCUGAACCUGAGUUGCUGGUUCCAGUUGCUCGAUUUCAGGGUUCUCGUCUUGCUUCAGGUCCCUCACCUGCCCCUUUAUCAGAUGGCCGGCGCUGGGAGCAAAAGAAAAUGGGAUGAAGAGGGUAAUGAGAUCUUGAUUCGCCCCAAUAAGGCUUCACGCUUCUCUUCAGGGGCCACAAUAGGUGCUGCAAUUGUUGAAGCUGAGAACGAACUUGAGAUUGAAGUGGAUGAAAAUGAUAAUAAGGAGGAACUGAAAAUAAAGCUAAAGGGGUUGCUCCGUGAGAAAAAUGAUGUUUUUAACUCAGAAAAUCCAGAAGAAGAUCAGAUCAAAUUGGGGGACCCAGGGUGGAAAGCAAGGUAUUAUGAGGAAAAAUUCUCUGCAAAAACUCCAGAAGAAAUUGAGACAAUACAAAGAGAUGUUGUCUUGAGAUACCCGGAAUGAUUAUGUUGGGUCAUGCAAUAUUAUUCUGAAGGGGUUUGUUACUGGCAAUGAAUUCGCUCGACUAAUUCCCAGAGCUCCGUGAACCCCCGGCGACGCACGGAGUGGGUAAUUACGCCAAAAGCGCUCCGGUGGCUCCAAUGGGUUUCAAACCUGGAAUCGGGUGGAUAUUGGAGCUCCUCCUUAACCACUGCCAGUAACGAGGGACUUCACAGCAUGCACCGCCUCAUCGGGAUCAACAGCAACAACCUUUUUGCCAUUUGAUGAUCUUACUUUUGGAACUUUUCUCUUAACUACAUCUCUGCUUUGUGGACAAAGUAGGGAGUCCAUAUCCCCAUCGCCGGUGGAUGACGUCGUGUAUCCAUCGAAAACAUUGGUCUUCAUUCACUUAGAACCUCCAUCCAUAUUAUGAAGAUUUCUCCAUUUUGGUUGAUUACGGAGAACAUUCCAAGUA